Molecule: ribosomal RNA, 376 nt
Filed under: uncultured bacterium
Lineage: Bacteria
Description: bacterial SSU rRNA
Rfam family: Bacterial small subunit ribosomal RNA
Source: RNAcentral
GACAGAGGGUGCAAACGUUGUUCGGAAUUACUGGGCGUAAAGCGUGUGUAGGCGGUGAGGUAAGUCGGAUGUGAAAGCCCAGGGCUCAACCCUGGAAGUGCACUCGAUACUGCUUCGCUUGAGUACUGGAGAGGUUGGUGGAAUUCUCGGUGUAGAGGUGAAAUUCGUAGAUAUCGAGAGGAACAUCUGUGGCGAAGGCGGCCAACUGGACAGAUACUGACGCUGAGACACGAAAGUGCGGGGAGCAAACAGGAUUAGAUACCCUGGUAGUCCGCACCGUAAACGAUGGGUGCUAGGUGUCACGAGCUUUGACUCUCGUGGUGCCGUAGCCAACGCAUUAAGCACCCCGCCUGGGAAGUACGGCCGCAAGGCUAAA